Molecule: ribosomal RNA, 534 nt
Filed under: uncultured Staphylococcus sp.
Lineage: Bacteria; Bacillati; Bacillota; Bacilli; Caryophanales; Staphylococcaceae
Description: bacterial SSU rRNA
Rfam family: Bacterial small subunit ribosomal RNA
Source: RNAcentral
AACUUCGGGAAACCGGAGCUAAUACCGGAUAAUAUUUUGAACCGCAUGGUUCAAAAGUGAAAGACGGUCUUGCUGUCACUUAUAGAUGGAUCCGCGCUGCAUUAGCUAGUUGGUAAGGUAACGGCUUACCAAGGCAACGAUGCAUAGCCGACCUGAGAGGGUGAUCGGCCACACUGGAACUGAGACACGGUCCAGACUCCUACGGGAGGCAGCAGUAGGGAAUCUUCCGCAAUGGGCGAAAGCCUGACGGAGCAACGCCGCGUGAGUGAUGAAGGUCUUCGGAUCGUAAAACUCUGUUAUUAGGGAAGAACAUAUGUGUAAGUAACUGUGCACAUCUUGACGGUACCUAAUCAGAAAGCCAUGGCUAACUACGUGCCAGCAGCCGCGGUAAUACGUAGGUGGCAAGCGUUAUCCGGAAUUAUUGGGCGUAAAGCGCGCGUAGGCGGUUUUUUAAGUCUGAUGUGAAAGCCCACGGCUCAACCGUGGAGGGUCAUUGGAAACUGGAAAACUUGAGUGCAGAAGAGGAAAGUGGAA